Molecule: non-coding RNA, 52 nt
Filed under: unclassified sequences
Source: RNAcentral
UGGGGCCCACGGCGGUCGCCCCGCAUUUCCAAGGCGCGAGCCCAAGCACCGU